This is a non-coding RNA of Schistosoma curassoni, 101 nucleotides long. The record is from Rfam. NCBI's taxonomy places the organism in Eukaryota, Metazoa, Platyhelminthes, Trematoda, Strigeidida, Schistosomatidae.
UUUGCUUCAGCGUUAGACGUGCUAAAAUUGGAAUGACACAAAGAUGCGAAUAGCCCCUGCUCAAGGGUAUUAUACGAAAUCGAGAACUGUCCCAUAUCCUU